UGAAUGGAACGUUAAAGAAACAUGGAACAGUUUGUGAGCAAUGGAGCAAAUGACCGAGCGAGAGCCGGUGUAUGAGUCAGGACCCUGGGGCUGAAAUAUCUAAGUGCACAUGAGGCAAGUUGAGACACAGCCGGAGAUGGAGAACGGUGGGAGGGAGACGGAGAUUACGAGGGAACGACAAACCAAAUGCCAACAGGGAGGAAUACCACAGGGAGGAAGGGAUAGCUCACGAGGAGGACCUCUUUCUUCACCGGCCUAAUGAUGGCCUCCUUCACUUCCAUCAACACCUCUUUGGACCGCAUGUUGAAAGUUCUCAUGAAGUUUCAACAUGUUCUCAUGAAG
Ictalurus furcatus (blue catfish) is the source of this 342-nucleotide long non-coding RNA. RefSeq lists it as uncharacterized. The transcript has 3 exons. NCBI's taxonomy places the organism in Eukaryota, Metazoa, Chordata, Actinopteri, Siluriformes, Ictaluridae. The record is from RefSeq and is a predicted model, not a curated record.